This 1383-nucleotide ribosomal RNA is filed under the name Escherichia coli. RNAcentral describes it as "partial 23S ribosomal RNA". It matches the Rfam family "Bacterial large subunit ribosomal RNA", at positions 1557 to 2916 of the family's 2925-position model. The record is from RNAcentral. Lineage: Bacteria; Pseudomonadati; Pseudomonadota; Gammaproteobacteria; Enterobacterales; Enterobacteriaceae.
UGAGGCGUGAUGACGAGGCACUACGGUGCUGAAGCAACAAAUGCCCUGCUUCCAGGAAAAGCCUCUAAGCAUCAGGUAACAUCAAAUCGUACCCCAAACCGACACAGGUGGUCAGGUAGAGAAUACCAAGGCGCUUGAGAGAACUCGGGUGAAGGAACUAGGCAAAAUGGUGCCGUAACUUCGGGAGAAGGCACGCUGAUAUGUAGGUGAAGCGACUUGCUCGUGGAGCUGAAAUCAGUCGAAGAUACCAGCUGGCUGCAACUGUUUAUUAAAAACACAGCACUGUGCAAACACGAAAGUGGACGUAUACGGUGUGACGCCUGCCCGGUGCCGGAAGGUUAAUUGAUGGGGUCAGCGCAAGCGAAGCUCUUGAUCGAAGCCCCGGUAAACGGCGGCCGUAACUAUAACGGUCCUAAGGUAGCGAAAUUCCUUGUCGGGUAAGUUCCGACCUGCACGAAUGGCGUAAUGAUGGCCAGGCUGUCUCCACCCGAGACUCAGUGAAAUUGAACUCGCUGUGAAGAUGCAGUGUACCCGCGGCAAGACGGAAAGACCCCGUGAACCUUUACUAUAGCUUGACACUGAACAUUGAGCCUUGAUGUGUAGGAUAGGUGGGAGGCUUUGAAGUGUGGACGCCAGUCUGCAUGGAGCCGACCUUGAAAUACCACCCUUUAAUGUUUGAUGUUCUAACGUUGACCCGUAAUCCGGGUUGCGGACAGUGUCUGGUGGGUAGUUUGACUGGGGCGGUCUCCUCCUAAAGAGUAACGGAGGAGCACGAAGGUUGGCUAAUCCUGGUCGGACAUCAGGAGGUUAGUGCAAUGGCAUAAGCCAGCUUGACUGCGAGCGUGACGGCGCGAGCAGGUGCGAAAGCAGGUCAUAGUGAUCCGGUGGUUCUGAAUGGAAGGGCCAUCGCUCAACGGAUAAAAGGUACUCCGGGGAUAACAGGCUGAUACCGCCCAAGAGUUCAUAUCGACGGCGGUGUUUGGCACCUCGAUGUCGGCUCAUCACAUCCUGGGGCUGAAGUAGGUCCCAAGGGUAUGGCUGUUCGCCAUUUAAAGUGGUACGCGAGCUGGGUUUAGAACGUCGUGAGACAGUUCGGUCCCUAUCUGCCGUGGGCGCUGGAGAACUGAGGGGGGCUGCUCCUAGUACGAGAGGACCGGAGUGGACGCAUCACUGGUGUUCGGGUUGUCAUGCCAAUGGCACUGCCCGGUAGCUAAAUGCGGAAGAGAUAAGUGCUGAAAGCAUCUAAGCACGAAACUUGCCCCGAGAUGAGUUCUCCCUGACUCCUUGAGAGUCCUGAAGGAACGUUGAAGACGACGACGUUGAUAGGCCGGGUGUGUAAGCGCAGCGAUGCGUUGAGCUAACCGGUACUAAUGAACCGUGAGG